Molecule: ribosomal RNA, 484 nt
Filed under: uncultured bacterium
Lineage: Bacteria
Description: partial 16S ribosomal RNA
Rfam family: Bacterial small subunit ribosomal RNA
Source: RNAcentral
AUUGAACGCUGGCGGCAGGCCUAACACAUGCAAGUCGAGCGGAUGAAGGGUGCUUGCUCCUGGAUUCAGCGGCGGACGGGUGAGUAAUGCCUAGGAAUCUGCCUGGUUGUGGGGUAUAACGUCCGGAAACGGGCGCUAAUACCGCAUACGUCCUGAGGGAGAAAGUGGGGGAUCUUCGGACCUCACGCUAUCAGAUGAGCCUAGGUCGGAUUAGCUAGUUGGUGGGGUAAAGGCCUACCAAGGCGACGAUCCGUAACUGGUCUGGGAGGAUGAUCAGGCACACUGGAACUGAGACACGGUCCAGACUCCUACGGGAGGCAGCAGUGGGGAAUAUUGGACAAUGGGCGAAAGCCUGAUCCAGCCAUGCCGCGUGUGUGAAGAAGGCCUUCGGAUUGUAAAGCCCUUUAAGUGGGGAGGAAGGGCAGUAAGUUAAUACCUUGCUGUUUUGACGUUACCAACAGAAUAAGCACCGGCUAACUUCGUG